This 396-nucleotide ribosomal RNA is filed under the name uncultured bacterium. RNAcentral's name for it is "partial 16S ribosomal RNA". It matches the Rfam family "Bacterial small subunit ribosomal RNA", at positions 359 to 773 of the family's 1533-position model. The record is from RNAcentral.
AAGAUUGCACAAUGGGGGAAACCCUGAUGCAGCGACGCCGCGUGAGUGAAGAAGUAUUUCGGUAUGUAAAGCUCUAUCAUCAGGGACGAAAUUGACGGUACCUGACUAAGAAGCCCCGGCUAACUACUUUCCAGCAGCCGCGGUAAUACGUAGGGGGCAAGCGUUAUCCGGAUUUACUGGGUGUAAAGGGAGCGUAGGUGGUGCAGCAAGUCAGAUGUGAAAGCCCGGGGCUCAACCCCGGGACUGCAUUUGAAACUGUCGUGCUAGAGUGCAGGAGAGGUAAGUGGAAUUCCUAGUGUAGCGGUGAAAUGCGUAGAUAUUAGGAGGAACACCAGUGGCGAAGGCGGCUUACUGGACUGUAACUGACACUGAGGUGCGAAAGCGUGGGGAGCAAAC